CAAUAUAAGUGAUGGCGACCGGCGCACGGGUGAGUAACACGUAUCCAACCUGCCGAUAACUCGGGGAUAGCCUUUCGAAAGAAAGAUUAAUACCCGAUGGUAUAAUAAAACCGCAUGGUUUAAUUAUUAAAGAAUUUCGGUUAUCGAUGGGGAUGCGUUCCAUUAGGCAGUUGGUGAGGUAACGGCUCACCAAACCUUCGAUGGAUAGGGGUUCUGAGAGGAAGGUCCCCCACAUUGGAACUGAGACGCGGUCCAA
Molecule: ribosomal RNA, 256 nt
Filed under: uncultured bacterium
Lineage: Bacteria
Description: partial 16S ribosomal RNA
Rfam family: Bacterial small subunit ribosomal RNA
Source: RNAcentral